RNAcentral lists this long non-coding RNA (742 nucleotides) under Mytilus galloprovincialis (Mediterranean mussel). Lineage: Eukaryota; Metazoa; Mollusca; Bivalvia; Mytilida; Mytilidae. The record is from RNAcentral.
GUCUACGAUGAUGAUAUAAAGAUUUUUGCCCAUGAUGAACAUUUACAAAUUUCCACUCCUAGCUUCAAGCUUGUGAAGUGCCAUUCAUGUCUUUCUGACGCAUCUUGUUCAAAAGUGGCAUCUAAGACCAUAGUUCUAAUUACUGUGACUAUGACUGUUUCCCUUAUUAUUUAAGUGGUACUGGAGACCACAUUUCAUGAUAAUGUGGAUUCAUUUAUUUAUGUGAUUAUCAAUUUUCGUGGACUGCUGAAAACUUUCAUAUUUGUGGAUAUUUGAUUUUGUGGUUUUUCUAAUUUCUGUAUACUUUAGCCUAUUAAAAAUAUUUUAUUCGUUAAACAUUUGAAUUCAUGGGUCAACUGUACCCACAAAACCCACGAAAGUUGGUAUCCAACGAAUAUUAAUGAAUCCACAGUAGUAUUUUGCAAAUUGGAAGAUAUUUGUGUAUGCUUCAAUAUAAGAGUAUUUCUGCUUUAAAUUCAUUAAUUACAGGUGUCGUUAAUAGCUGAGGUUGAUGGUUUAAUAGAUCUUAGGCAUAAAAGACAUUAGCAUACAUUGAUAUCUAAAGUGUGACAGUUAGUAUUUGCACUAAAAGGAAUCAUUUAAGUUGAGGUGUGUCAGGUUAUCAUUAUUCAACAAUCCCGGUACAGCUGAAAUAAUUUAGGUUUUUAUGCCCCACCUACGAUAGUAGAGGGGCAUUAUGUUUUCUGAUCUGUGGCUCCGUUCAUCCGUCCGUCCGUCCGUC